RNAcentral lists this ribosomal RNA (253 nucleotides) under uncultured bacterium. RNAcentral's name for it is "partial 16S ribosomal RNA". It matches the Rfam family "Bacterial small subunit ribosomal RNA", at positions 524 to 776 of the family's 1533-position model. The record is from RNAcentral.
UACGGAGGGUGCAAGCGUUAUCCGGAUUUACUGGGUUUAAAGGGUGUGUAGGCGGGCUUUUAAGUCAGUGGUGAAAUCUCCGGGCUCAACCCGGAAACUGCCAUUGAUACUAUUAGUCUUGAAUUUUGUUGAGGUAGGCGGAAUAAGUCAUGUAGCGGUGAAAUGCAUAGAUAUGACUUAGAACACCGAUUGCGAAGGCAGCUUGCUAAACAAAUAUUGACGCUGAGGCACGAAAGCGUGGGGAGCAAACAGG